This 740-nucleotide ribosomal RNA is filed under the name uncultured phototrophic eukaryote. RNAcentral's name for it is "bacterial SSU rRNA". It matches the Rfam family "Bacterial small subunit ribosomal RNA", at positions 97 to 869 of the family's 1533-position model. The record is from RNAcentral.
GGCGAACGGGUGAGGAACACGUAAGAAUCUGCCCCUCGGUCGGGGACAACUCUUGGAAACGAGAGCUAAUACCCGAUACGCUGUGGAGUGAAAGAAUUUCGCCGAGGGAUGAUCUUGCGUCUGAUUAGCUAGUUGGUAUGGUAAUGGCAUACCAAGGCGACGAUCAGUAGCUGGUCUGAGAGGAUGAACAGCCCCAUUGGAACUGAGACACGGUCCAAACUCCUACGGGAGGCAGCAGUGGGGAAUUUUCCGCAAUGGACGAAAGUCUGACGGAGCGACGCUGCGUGAAGGAUGACGGCCUGCGGGUUGUAAACUUCUUUUCUCGAAGAAGAAGCUCUGACGGUAUUCGAGGAAUAAGCAUCGGCUAACUCCGUGCCAGCAGCCGCGGUAAUACGGAGGAUGCAAGUGUUAUUCGGAAUGAUUGGGCGUAAAGCGUCUGUAGGCUGUAUAGAAAGUCUUUUGUUAAAUGCCUCGGCUCAACCGAGAUCCAGCAAAGGAAACUUCUAUACUUGAGGGAAGUAGAGGUACAGGGAAUUCCCGGUGGAGCGGUGAAAUGCGUAGAUAUCGGGAGGAACACCAAUAUGGCGAAGGCACUGUACUGGGCUUUACCUGACGCUCAGAGACGAAAGCUAAAGGAGUGAUUAGGAUUAGAUACCCUAGUAAUUUUAGCCGUAAACGAUGGAAACUCACUGCCGAGCGAAAUACAACGAGCGGUGGUCAAGCUAACGCGUGAAGUUUCC